Molecule: non-coding RNA, 5275 nt
Organism: Chiloscyllium plagiosum (whitespotted bambooshark)
Lineage: Eukaryota; Metazoa; Chordata; Chondrichthyes; Orectolobiformes; Hemiscylliidae
Source: RefSeq, a predicted model, not a curated record
AUCUUGGGUAAUCUUGAGACACACAACUGACAUAUUAAGCAGAAAGUGCUGCUGGACACUUUGAAAAUGGCUGAGAGCAUUGCUCAUACCUGACUUUUGGUGGGGUCAGUAAGAGCAGGAUUGCUCUCCCUGAGGCCACAGGAAGAAAACUCCUACCUUCAGGUCUGCCUGCCUGAGACUUGUUCCUGGAAUUAGGCAACCCUCACCAACAGCAACACUUUCAGGAGAAGAAGGGGAAACAGGCAUUUCAUACAUUUUAAGAAAGAAGCUUGUGAAUCUGUUGGUCAUCUAUAAUUGAUCUCAUUGAGUGUAAAAAGGGCUUUGUGAUGUUAAUACAUUUUCUGUUUGUUCUGCAGUGUACCAGCCUGAUGCCAGCAAGAGCUCCACAUUUUGGAUAAAUCACCAGUUGCGCUGCCAACAGUGACUACCUUGUGCUGUAGAUAUGGCCCCAAAGCCAAGUGGCUCCACAAAGGCCGAGGAGACGCCUGUCAGAGUGGCAAUCCGAAUCAGACCACUGUUACCCAAAGAAAUUCUACAUGGGCAUCAGUCUUGCGUCCACGUCGAUCUCAACACACAGCAGAUUACACUGGGAAAUAACCGGCAUUUCCAAUUCGAUAUAAUCUUUGACCAGACUGCCAGUCAGGAUGAAGUGUACAACAGUUGUAUGGAACCACUGGUUGAGGCUUUCUUUGAGGGUUUCAAUGCCACUGUGUUUGCCUAUGGACAGACUGGAUCAGGCAAAACAUAUACAAUUGGGGAGACUUACAUAUCUUCUGUUACUGAUGAUGACCAGGGCAUAAUUCCCCGUGCUUUGGCUGAGAUAUUUAAGCUGAUUGAUGAGAAUGACGCAGUGGAUCACACUAUUAAGGUGUCAUACCUAGAGGUCUACAAGGAAGAAUUCAGAGACUUACUGGAGGUGGAAACAGCAAGCAAGGACAUCCGCACUCGAGAGGAUGACAAAGGAAACACAGUACUCUGUGGUGUCAAGGAAUGUGAAGUGGAAGGGUUGGAUGAAGCUUUGAGCUUACUCGAGAUUGGUAACACUGCCAAGCAUACUGGGACUACACAGGUCAACAUGCACUCCAGCCGCUCUCACACUGUUUUUACAAUUACCAUGGAACAGAGACGUGGACUUGGUCGGACCACACGACUUGCUACCACUCCUGGAGACCUGCUGCAUCCCACACAUGUGAUAACCUCUAAGUUCCACUUUGUAGACUUGGCUGGCUCAGAACGAAUUCUGAAGACGGGGAACACUGGUGAGCGACUGAAAGAAUCCAUUCAGAUAAACAGUGGAUUGUUGGCAUUGGGCAAUGUCAUCAGUGCCCUGGGUGAUCCAAGGAGAAAGAGUUCACAUAUUCCUUAUCGGGAUUCCAAGAUUACAAGGAUCCUCAAAGACUCGCUUGGUGGUAAUGCAAAAACACUGAUGAUUGCCUGUAUAAGUCCCUCUUCAUUCAACUUUGAUGAGAAUUUGAACUGCUUAAAUUAUGCCAAAAGGACUCAGAACAUUAAAAACCAAGCAGUGAUUAAUUUUAAGAAAGACCUGGAUCGUACCAGUGAGCUACAACUUCAAAUCAAGACUCUUCAUGAAGCUAUGGAGCACAACCAACAAGCGUCACCAAACAAAUGUUUCAGGCAAUUGCCUGAGAAAUACAUGGCCCGCUUACACGCCGAGAGCUCUCAUUAUCGGACCUGCACGGAUACUGCUCACCGAAUUUUUAUGGAGUUGCAGGGAGACAGAAACCUCACAGUGGAUCAAGUGCUAAAAGUGAAAGAGUGGAUAGCAAACGUGGAAGAGAUGCGGAGUGAGCUUUCCACUGCCUCUGGCCUCGACAGUGGUAUUGAGUGCAAUUCAACUGAUGAACCCAAAACCAGACAUGUAUCUAAGGAACAGGCAUAUCUUUUCAAGGGUCCUAGUGAAGUUGGCCCAGACCUUGGGCAAGAGCAGAAACAGCUUGUUCCAAAACUGCAGGCAAAAGUUCAGCAGCUGGAGGAAGAGAACAGAGAUUUCUUGGCAGCUCUUGAGGAUGCCAUGGAGCGGUUUAAACAGCAGAAUGAAACAUUAUUGGAUCAGGAGGACCAGAUUGUUGAGUUACAAAGUAGACUGAAGCUAGUAGGAGGGAAUCAGUCUGCAGUGUUGGUGGAUGAGGUCUUGGAGAGUCUCCAACUUGCUGAUCUCAGCUGCAGGCCUCACACAGCCCCUCAUCUUUGCAGAUUGAACGUGCCACAUUCCAGUCGCAUUCUUAAUGAUGAAACUGGAAGAACUCAUUCCAAGAAGAUGUCUGCAAAUGCUUCUUCCACAGAACAUGCAAGUAUUGCAUUUCAUAGCCACAGUCAGUGCCUGCAGCAAAGCAUGGAGGACAGGCAUUCUGUGUUUUACAGAGACUGCAACAAAGAUGGUGGAUCAACUGUGUUGCGAUCUGAUGAUGAGGAGGAUGAUUUUUGUGGGAGUCUAGGAAAAACCAGAUAUCAGAUCAAUCGGACCUGGACAAAAAGAGAUAUGCCUGGAAUGAUCAGCACAGUGAAAAGCAGAAACAACCUUAACCAGCUCCGAGACAGUGAUUCAAGCAGUCUGCAAAGUGAAGAAACGAAAUCUCCCCACAGAAGGUGUGACCAGGAUGGGGCCCACUCACUGCCAUUCUCUGAAUUCAAGGAAGUUUCCCCUGUGUACCAUCCCAAGAUGAACAACUCUGAGUGGAGACUCGUCCAAGCACAGCACAAGAUGCGGGAACUGGCCAUCAAUAUCCGCAUGAAGGAAGAAUUGAUCAAAGAACUCAUCAAAACAGGGAGAGAUGCCCAAGCGAUGAAUAAACAGUACUUCCAGAAGAUUCAAGAGUUGGAGCAGGAGGCGGAGCAGGCAAGAGCAGAGCUGACAGAGGCUCAGAAACAGCUCCAGGACUUUGAGGAGAAAGAACCCAGGGACCCCGUGGAAAGGGCAAAACUUCAGGAGUAUCACAAAAAAAUUGUUGCAGCACAAAGUAAAGUUCAGGUACUCAGGCAAAAGAAGCGGGAUACAGAGCAACUGGUUUCACUGUCAUCGCAGAGUGAGCGGCGAAUCCAUGAGAUGGAGAGAAAUGUACAGCUGAUGAAGCAGCAACAAGCACUUUUGCAGAAAAAGCUGAAAGAGGAAAUGGAUCAGAAAAGGCGACUUGAGACAGAAAUGCAGAAAGGAAAACAUCGAGUGAAGGAGCUUGAAAUAAAGCAUAAGCAGCAGCAACAAAUUCUCAAGAUUAAAACCGAAGAGCUUGCAGCUUUCCAAAGAAAGAGGAGAAGUGGCAGCAAUGGGUCUGUAGUCAGCCUCGAAGAGCAGCAGAAAAUUGAAGAGCAGAAGAGGUGGUUAGACACUGAGAUUGAGAAGGUUCUUGAACAACGGAAGGCUCUGGAUGACCUGGAAGAGGAGCUGAACAAACGCGAGAUCAUUGUAGAAAAGAAGGAGGCCUUGCUGCAGGAGAAGAAUGGGCUGGAGAGCAAGAGGCUGCGGUCCAGUCAGGCACUGAGUAAUGACAUUGUGAGAGUGUCGAGCCGCAUUGAAUCUCUGGAGAAGGAGCUGUCUGAGAAGAAUGGGCAGUUGCGUAAUGGCAGUGCCUGUGACCAACAGGAAAUCCGGGAAGAGAUUUCCACCCUACGGCAUGAGAAGGAUCAGAUGAUGAAACAGCGCACUGAACUCGAUGAGAAACUACGGAUGGGAAACCUGCUGUCUGCAGAGGAAGAGAGGAUCCUUUUCCAGCUGGAUGAAGCUAUUGAAGCGCUGGAUGCUGCAAUUGAGUACAAAAACGAGACAAUCACACGUCGGCAGAGGGUGCUGCGAGCAUCUGCCAGCAUGCUGUCCCAGUGUGAAAUGAACCUAAUGGCAAAGCUGAGCUAUCUCUCAGCAUCUGAAACUAGAGCACUGCUCUGCAAAUAUUUUGACAAGGUGGUAACACUCCGAGAAGAGGAGCGCAAGAUGCAACUGGCUUUCAUGGAGUUGGAGAUGCGUGCUGAGGAGCAACAAAAGCUCGUUUACUGGCUGGAGGCAGCAGUCGAGCGCCAACGCCUCGAGACAGAUCGUCGCCUCACUGUCCAGCAGAAGGAACAUGAACAAAACCUGCAGCUCCUGCUCCAGCACUGCAGAGGACAAAUGGAUGAAGGAAUUGCUGGGAGUCAGAGGCAGUAUGAGGGCUGGAUUCAAAUGCUGGAGAAGGAGCUUGUCUGGUACAAACGAGCCAACCAUGAAUUGAACACAAAAUUGCGAGAACUGUCUAGUUAUCUCGUGAAUCAGCCAGCAGAGCAAAAUAAAUAUGUUGGGAAAACUCCAGUCACUGUUGACCGAAUUCCUGCGCGACCUGGAAGAGAAGAAAAUGGAAAUAAUAUUUUGCCAGAGCAAAUAUCUGUGCUGUCAGCUACUCUGGAGCACAUUCCCAAACCGAAAGAGGAGCUCCGGGAUCUGGUCCAUGCACCUCUGCCACCUACUUGGAGAAGGUCAUCCCUACCUACAGAAGAUCAGCCUGGACUUGAUGAACUGAGACUACGGGAUUCAGUGGAACAUUUGUGCCAUCGGGUGGUGCAGCCUGCAGAGGGUGCCAUGCACUGGAGUAUUACACCUGUGCAGAAAUCUCAAAAAACAUUCAGACAAGCAAGUCUCAGUUCAAACAUUUCUCACUUCAAUUCUGGGAUAAUUGACGUCCGAAAAAAUCCAGUGGGAUAGCUGACAGUGAAACACCACGUGGUGUUAAAGUAGACAUCAGCACAGAUUCUCAUUGAAGAAAACCCACUUUGAAGAAAAGCAUUUUAUUUGAAUAUUUUCAACAAAAUGGUUCAUAUUGAACAGGAAAACAUUUCAGAAUCUUGCAGAUGGAUUAAAAUCUCGACCAGAUGGAUAAACAGUUCAAUUGGGUUGCAAUUAUUUUGGAGGUGAGACCAGAGGAAACCUAAAAGAAUAUCUGCUUUAUUUUUGUACGACUUCAAAAACUUUAUGUAACUGAGACAAAAUUAUGGUUUAUAUGAUUGAGCAUGUAACCUUUGAAUGUCACAAGGUUUAUAUAUAUGUCAAUUACUGAACAAAUAAAAGGAGUUAUGACUUUUGUAAAUAUUGUAAAGUUGUGUACAGUGACUUUAUCUGUUGUUUGCUCUGUUUUGUAAUUUUUUCACCUGUGCUGUGCAACAGUUGCAUUCUUGUUACUUUGCCUUAAAUAGAAAUGCAGUCAUUACCGUCUCUCGGGUGCAAUAUCCAGAGUAAUCAUAGAGUCAGAGAGAUGUACGGCACGGAAACAGAUCCUUCAGUCGUCCAUGCUGACCA